RNAcentral lists this ribosomal RNA (253 nucleotides) under uncultured bacterium. Its description in RNAcentral is "partial 16S ribosomal RNA". It matches the Rfam family "Bacterial small subunit ribosomal RNA", at positions 524 to 776 of the family's 1533-position model. The record is from RNAcentral.
UACGUAGGGACCAAGCGUUGUUCGGAUUUACUGGGCGUAAAGGGCGCGUAGGCGGCUUAACAAGUCACUUGUGAAAUCUCCGGGCUUAACUCGGAACGGCCAAGUGAAACUGUCAAGCUAGAGUGCAGAAGGGGCAAUCGGAAUUCUUGGUGUAGCGGUGAAAUGCGUAGAUAUCAAGAGGAACAUCUGAGGUGAAGACGGGUUGCUGGGCUGACACUGACGCUGAGGCGCGAAAGCCAGGGGAGCAAACGGG